Molecule: ribosomal RNA, 859 nt
Filed under: uncultured bacterium
Lineage: Bacteria
Description: bacterial SSU rRNA
Rfam family: Bacterial small subunit ribosomal RNA
Source: RNAcentral
AGAGUUUGAUCCUGGCUCAGAGCGAACGCUGGCGGCAGGCCUAACACAUGCAAGUCGAACGAACUCUUCGGAGUUAGUGGCGGACGGGUGAGUAACACGUGGGAACGUGCCUUUAGGUUCGGAAUAACUCAGGGAAACUUGUGCUAAUACCGAAUGUGCCCUUCGGGGGAAAGAUUUAUCGCCUUUAGAGCGGCCCGCGUCUGAUUAGCUAGUUGGUGAGGUAAAGGCUCACCAAGGCGACGAUCAGUAGCUGGUCUGAGAGGAUGAUCAGCCACAUUGGGACUGAGACACGGCCCAAACUCCUACGGGAGGCAGCAGUGGGGAAUCUUGCGCAAUGGGCGAAAGCCUGACGCAGCUAUGCCGCGUGAAUGAUGAAGGUCUUAGGAUUGUAAAAUUCUUUCACCGGGGACGAUAAUGACGGUACCCGGAGAAGAAGCCCCGGCUAACUUCGUGCCAGCAGCCGCGGUAAUACGAAGGGGGCUAGCGUUGCUCGGAAUUACUGGGCGUAAAGGGAGCGUAGGCGGACAUUUAAGUCAGGGGUGAAAUCCCGGGGCUCAACCUCGGAAUUGCCUUUGAUACUGGGUGUCUGAGUAUGAGAGAGGUGUGUGGAACUCCGAGUGUAGAGGUGAAAUUCGUAGAUAUUCGGAAGAACACCAGUGGCGAAGGCGACACACUGGCUCAUUACUGACGCUGAGGCUCGAAAGCGUGGGGAGCAAACAGGAUUAGAUACCCUGGUAGUCCACGCCGUAAACGAUGAUUGCUAGUUGUCGGGAUGCAUGCAUUUCGGUGACGCAGCUAACGCAUUAAGCAAUCCGCCUGGGGAGUACGGUCGCAAGAUUAAAACUCAAAUGAAUUGACG